RNAcentral lists this ribosomal RNA (812 nucleotides) under uncultured earthworm cast bacterium. RNAcentral's name for it is "bacterial SSU rRNA". It matches the Rfam family "Bacterial small subunit ribosomal RNA", at positions 33 to 822 of the family's 1533-position model. The record is from RNAcentral.
ACAGCUGGCGGCGUGCCUAAUACAUGCAAGUCGAGUGAAUGGAUUGAGAGCUUGCUCUCAAGAAGUUAGCGGCGGACGGGUGAGUAACACGUGGGUAACCUGCCCAUAAGACUGGGAUAACUCCGGGAAACCGGGGCUAAUACCGGAUAAUAUUUUGAACUGCAUGGUUCGAAAUUGAAAGGCGGCUUCGGCUGUCACUUAUGGAUGGACCCGCGUCGCAUUAGCUAGUUGGUGAGGUAAUGGCUCACCAAGGCAACGAUGCGUAGCCGACCUGAGAGGGUGAUCGGCCACACUGGGACUGAGACACGGCCCAGACUCCUACGGGAGGCAGCAGUAGGGAAUCUUCCGCAAUGGACGAAAGUCUGACGGAGCAACGCCGCGUGAGUGAUGAAGGCUUUCGGGUCGUAAAACUCUGUUGUUAGGGAAGAACAAGUGCUAGUUGAAUAAGCUGGCACCUUGAUGGUACCUAACCAGAAAGCCACGGCUAACUACGUGCCAGCAGCCGCGGUAAUACGUAGGUGGCAAGCGUUAUCCGGAAUUAUUGGGCGUAAAGCGCGCGCAGGUGGUUUCUUAAGUCUGAUGUGAAAGCCCACGGCUCAACCGUGGAGGGUCAUUGGAAACUGGGAGACUUGAGUGCAGAAGAGGAAAGUGGAAUUCCAUGUGUAGCGGUGAAAUGCGUAGAGAUAUGGAGGAACACCAGUGGCGAAGGCGACUUUUCUGGUCUGUAACUGACACUGAGGCGCGAAAGCGUGGGGGAGCAAACAGGAUUAGAUACCCUGGUAGUCCACGCCGUAAACGAUGAGUGCUAAGUG